Molecule: ribosomal RNA, 274 nt
Filed under: uncultured bacterium
Lineage: Bacteria
Description: partial 16S ribosomal RNA
Rfam family: Bacterial small subunit ribosomal RNA
Source: RNAcentral
AUACGAAAGGUGCAAGCGUUGUUCGGAUUUACUGGGCGUAAAGAGAGUGUAGGUUGUUUAUUAAGUCGGAUGUGAAAUCCCGGGGCUCAACCUCGGAACUGCAUUCGAUACUGGUAGACUAGAGUUCGGGAGGGGUAAGCGGAAUUCCGUGUGUAGCAGUGAAAUGCGUAGAUAUACGGAGGAACACCUGAGGCGAAGGCGGCUUACUGGACCGAUACUGACACUGAGACUCGAAAGCGUGGGUAGCGAACAGGAUUAGAAACCCCAGUAGUCC